This 93-nucleotide microRNA precursor is filed under the name Xyrichtys novacula (pearly razorfish). Lineage: Eukaryota; Metazoa; Chordata; Actinopteri; Labriformes; Labridae. The record is from RNAcentral.
ACCAGGUCAUAACCAGAGUUAUGACCUGGUUAUUACCUGGUCAUAACCAGAGUUAUGACCAGGUAAUAACCAGGUCAUAACCAGGUCAUAACC